UACAGAGGGUGCAAGCGUUGUUCGGAAUCAUUGGGCGUAAAGGGCGUGUAGGCGGUUUGUUAAGUCAUGUGUGAAAUCCCUCGGCUCAACCGGGGAACGACGCAUGAAACUGACAAGCUAGAGUACCAAAGAGGGGGGUGGAAUUCCCGGUGUAGCGGUGAAAUGCGCAGAUAUCAGGAGGAACACCGGUGGCGAAGGCGGGUCUCUGGGCCGAUACUGACGCUGAGGAGCGAAAGCGUGGGGAGCGAACAGG
Molecule: ribosomal RNA, 253 nt
Filed under: uncultured bacterium
Lineage: Bacteria
Description: partial 16S ribosomal RNA
Rfam family: Bacterial small subunit ribosomal RNA
Source: RNAcentral